Molecule: non-coding RNA, 30 nt
Filed under: Rattus norvegicus (Norway rat)
Lineage: Eukaryota; Metazoa; Chordata; Mammalia; Rodentia; Muridae
Source: RNAcentral
UGAGAAGACUCUUGCAGAAAUCUAUCCAGG